AACGAACGCUGGCGGCAUGCCUAACACAUGCAAGUCGAACGAAGGCUUCGGCCUUAGUGGCGCACGGGUGAGUAACGCGUGGGAAACUGCCUAUUGGUGGGGAAUAACGACGGGAAACUGUCGCUAAUACCGCAUAAGCCCUUCGGGGGAAAGAUUUAUCGCCGAUAGAUGUGCCCGCGUCCGAGUAGCUAGUUGGUGAGGUAAUGGCUCACCAAGGCGACGAUCGGUAGCUGGUCUGAGAGGAUGAUCAGCCACACUGGGACUGAGACACGGCCCAGACUCCUACGGGAGGCAGCAGUGGGGAAUAUUGAACAAUGGGCGAAAGCCUGAUCCAGCAAUGCCGCGUGAGUGAUGAAGGCCUUAGGGUUGUAAAGCUCUUUCGGGUGGGACGAUGAUGACGGUACCACCAGAAGAAGCCCCGGCUAACUUCGUGCCAGCAGCCGCCGUAA
This 449-nucleotide ribosomal RNA is filed under the name uncultured bacterium. RNAcentral's name for it is "partial 16S ribosomal RNA". It matches the Rfam family "Bacterial small subunit ribosomal RNA", at positions 29 to 523 of the family's 1533-position model. The record is from RNAcentral.